This 451-nucleotide ribosomal RNA is filed under the name uncultured bacterium. RNAcentral's name for it is "partial 16S ribosomal RNA". It matches the Rfam family "Bacterial small subunit ribosomal RNA", at positions 28 to 507 of the family's 1533-position model. The record is from RNAcentral.
GAUGAACGCUGGCGGCGUGCCUAACACACGCAAGUCGAGCGGCAGCGAGGGGUGCUUGCACCCUGUCGGCGAGCGGCGGACGGCUGAGUAACGCGUGGGAACGUGCCCCAAAGUGAGGAAUAACUGCCCGAAAGGGUAGCUAAUACCGCAUAUUAUCUUCGGAUCAAAGGAUUUAUCCGCUUUGGGAGCGGCUCGCGUCGGAUUAGGUAGUUGGUGAGGUAAUGGCUCACCAAGCCGACGAUCCGUAGCUGGUCUGAGAGGAUGACCAGCCAGACUGGAACUGAGACACGGUCCAGACUCCUACGGGAGGCAGCAGUGAGGAAUCUUCCACAAUGGGCGAAAGCCUGAUGGAGCAACGCCGCGUGCAGGACGAAGGCCUUCGGGUUGUAAACUGCUUUUAUAAGUGAGGAAUAUGACGGUAACUUAUGAAUAAGGAUCGGCUAACUACGUG